UACCAGCACCCCGAGUGGUCGGGACGAUUAUUGGGCCUAAAGCAUCCGUAGCCGGUUCUGCAAGUCCCCCGUUAAAUCCAGCUGCUCAACAGAUGGGCCGCGGAGGAUACUACAGAGCUAGGAGGCAGGAGAGGCAAGCGGUACUCAGUGGGUAGGGGUAAAAUCCGUUGAUCCAUUGAAGACCACCAGUGGCGAAGGCGGCUUGCCAGAAUGCGCUCGACGGUGAGGGAUGAAACAGG
Molecule: ribosomal RNA, 239 nt
Filed under: uncultured bacterium
Lineage: Bacteria
Description: partial 16S ribosomal RNA
Rfam family: Archaeal small subunit ribosomal RNA
Source: RNAcentral